AUUCUCUAUAAACGGCACCAAGAUGCAAACGGUAUAUAAGAAUGUGCAUGCACCCGCUAGUAAAUUACUAGCGGGUGUAUACACAUUCUUAUAUACCGUUUGCAUAUUGGUGCCGUUUAUAGACAAU
Paramuricea clavata is the source of this 127-nucleotide non-coding RNA. NCBI's taxonomy places the organism in Eukaryota, Metazoa, Cnidaria, Anthozoa, Malacalcyonacea, Plexauridae. The record is from the annotation of a GenBank genome assembly.